RNAcentral lists this antisense RNA (971 nucleotides) under Pongo abelii (Sumatran orangutan). The stretch from base 503 to 682 matches the Rfam family "TTC28 antisense RNA 1 conserved region 3". The record is from RNAcentral. Lineage: Eukaryota; Metazoa; Chordata; Mammalia; Primates; Hominidae.
AAGCUGGACGCGCGCAGUCUUGUCUGCUUACGAGGGCUCCUCCCUUCAUCUUUGGUCCCUCGGGGCGUCUGGGCAGCCUACGCUUUCCGGUGUGGAGAUGCUUGUGUCUGGGACCUCCUGCCAUUUCUCAGGACACCAUCCUGCUCCUAGCUGGGAGAUUCAGCAUCCUCAUGAAUGCAGGGCCCAAGGCCACCAACUGUUCCACCUGCUGUCAGCCAGGCCUGUUGCCCCAGCCCUAUACCCACAGCUCACCCAGCAGGGACUGGAGUGUGCUGCUGCACUGCUGGAGCCGGUCGCCCGGGUCGGAGGUUGGGAAGAAGACAGCCGCUGGCAGGCCGCUGGUUGGGGGGUCCAGCCGGAAGCCCACAGCGGUGAGGAGGGCCUGCCAGCCAGGGAUGCCACCCACUUUGUUCUCCACACUCUGCUGGGACGUGUACAUGGCAUUGCGCUGCCCAUUCUGGAUGCGCUGCAGGGACUUCUCCACCUGGGGGGGAAUUGGGGUAAACACUGGGAUGCUGGAGCUCAGGCAUCCCAGACAGGAGGAGUGUGUACUCACACCAGCCAGGAGGAAACAAGCCUGCCUGAGAGGACAGAGGAUCAGCCCUGGCUGUCCCUCGGGAGCGGGGGGCCUCCAAGGCACACUGCCCACUGGGUCAAGGAGUAUCCAGGAGGAGUUAGAAGCAUGACCCAUCCGCCUGGCACCAGCACCUGGGGCUGCCAGGCAGCCACCCCUGCAGCUGUGUUGACAGGGCCUGGCAGAGGGACUGACCCACCUUUGGAAAAUGACACCAGCAAUAUCAGGAUGUGUCAACUGGAUUUAUGUUAAGAAAAUAGGAUUUUUGGCGUUCCUCUGUUUCCCAAAGUUUGAGACACUUUCAGACACUCUGCUUUGCGGUUGUGGCCGAUGUUACCCAUGGGUGGGACUUUUGCUUUGCUCUAGAUUUUUGUAAUACCCUGGGGAGUUUCAGGGG